GACGCCAUCUCGGAAUCUUCUAUAAAUUGGCAAUAAAUAUUCUUGAAACAGAAAAAAACAUUCUCUACAAUAAGACCUUCUAAUGAAACUCAUUCUUCCACCCUGAUCAACAUCAGAAGUGUACCAUGAU
RNAcentral lists this long non-coding RNA (130 nucleotides) under Macaca mulatta (Rhesus monkey). RNAcentral's name for it is "lncRNA (ENSMMUG00000061575.1)". The record is from RNAcentral. Lineage: Eukaryota; Metazoa; Chordata; Mammalia; Primates; Cercopithecidae.